GAGGGGGAGGGGAGGUGUUUAGGAGAAAGUAGGGGCUGUGGGUGUCGGGAGCCGGCUGACGGGUGGACAAGGGGGGGUUAGCAGCUGGGCUACGACCGUUAGGGAGGGGCUCAAGGUGUGCAUGUGUGAGGGAAGAGAGAGAGAGAGAAGGGCGCCUCAGAGGUGACUUUCAGCCUGCGAGCCUUCUUCCCGGGGCGCCAUAAACGCCCCCAAUUUCCCAGCUGCUAAAGGAAGAGGAAGAUUCAACCCUAUGAAAAGAUAAAGGCCAGGGGCUUGCCUGAUAAUAUAUCUUCUGUGUUGAACAAACUAGUGGUGGUGAAACUCAAUGGUGGUUUGGGAACCAGCAUGGGCUGCAAAGGCCCUAAAAGUCUGAUUGGUGUGAGGAAUGAGAAUACCUUUCUGGAUCUGACUGUUCAGCAAAUUGAAGUGAGUAACAUUUAGCCUUUCUCAUGAGAUACUAAAAUAGUUUUUAGUUUUUAAGUUAUCAUAAAUGUU
Molecule: small RNA, 495 nt
Filed under: Pan troglodytes (chimpanzee)
Lineage: Eukaryota; Metazoa; Chordata; Mammalia; Primates; Hominidae
Description: retained intron
Source: RNAcentral